Molecule: ribosomal RNA, 404 nt
Filed under: Hyalomma marginatum
Lineage: Eukaryota; Metazoa; Arthropoda; Arachnida; Ixodida; Ixodidae
Description: partial 16S ribosomal RNA
Rfam family: Bacterial large subunit ribosomal RNA (bases 259-404)
Source: RNAcentral
UUGUAAUAAGAUUUUAAUUGAAUGCUAAAAGAAUGGAAAUUUAAAAAAAAACUUUUUUAAAAAUAAAAAUUGAAUUUUUUUUAAUUUGUGCAAAAACAAUUAUACUUAUUAAAGACAAGAAGACCCUAAGAAUUUAAGAUUUUACAAUUAAAAAGUUUUUUUUUUAAAAUCUUGAUUGGGGCGAUCAAAAAAUAUUAAUAACUUUUUAAAAUUUAAAUUGAUCUAUUAUUAAUAAACUAAUGAAUUAAAUACUCUAGGGAUAACAGCGUAAUAAUUUUUGAUAGAUCUUAUUGACAAAAUAGUUUGCGACCUCGAUGUUGGAUUAGGAUUCUUUUUUAAUGAAGAAGUUAAAAAAAGAAGUUUGUUCAACUUUUAAAUUCCUACUUGAUCUGAGUUCAGACCGG